RNAcentral lists this ribosomal RNA (417 nucleotides) under uncultured microorganism. RNAcentral describes it as "bacterial SSU rRNA". It matches the Rfam family "Bacterial small subunit ribosomal RNA", at positions 9 to 423 of the family's 1533-position model. The record is from RNAcentral.
GAGUUUGAUCCUGGCUCAGAUUGAACGCUGGCGGCAUGCCUUACACAUGCAAGUCGAACGGCAGCAUGAUCUAGCUUGCUAGAUUGAUGGCGAGUGGCGAACGGGUGAGUAAUACAUCGGAACGUGCCCUGUAGUGGGGGAUAACUAGUCGAAAGAUUAGCUAAUACCGCAUACGACCUGAGGGUGAAAGUGGGGGACCGCAAGGCCUCAUGCUAUAGGAGCGGCCGAUGUCUGAUUAGCUAGUUGGUGGGUAAAGGCCCACCAAGGCGACGAUCAGUAGCUGGUCUGAGAGGACGAUCAGCCACACUGGGACUGAGACACGGCCCAGACUCCUACGGGAGGCAGCAGUGGGGAAUUUUGGACAAUGGGCGAAAGCCUGAUCCAGCAAUGCCGCGUGUGUGAAGAAGGCCUCGGUGU